CACUCCUACGGGAGGCAGCAGUGGGGAAUUUUGGACAAUGGGGGCAACCCUGAUCCAGCAAUGCCGCGUGAGUGAAGAAGGCCUUCGGGUUGUAAAGCUCUUUUGUCAGGGAAGAAACGGUGGUGGCGAAUAACUACUACUAAUGACGGUACCUGAAGAAUAAGCACCGGCUAACUACGUGCCAGCAGCCGCGGUAAUACGUAGGGUGCAAGCGUUAAUCGGAAUUACUGGGCGUAAAGCGUGCGCAGGCGGUUGUGUAAGUCAGAUGUGAAAUCCCCGGGCUCAACCUGGGAAUUGCAUUUGAGACUGCACGGCUAGAGUGUGUCAGAGGGGGGUAGAAUUCCACGUGUAGCAGUGAAAUGCGUAGAUAUGUGGAGGAAUACCGAUGGCGAAGGCAGCCCCCUGGGAUAACACUGACGCUCAUGCACGAAAGCGUGGGGAGCAAACAGGAUUAGAAACCCCGGUAGUCCCA
This 472-nucleotide ribosomal RNA is filed under the name uncultured organism. RNAcentral describes it as "partial 16S ribosomal RNA". It matches the Rfam family "Bacterial small subunit ribosomal RNA", at positions 334 to 797 of the family's 1533-position model. The record is from RNAcentral.